GGCGACAGCAGUUGGGAAGACGGACAAAUGCAUAUUCUUGGAUUCUACCCAAAAUCUCCCGAGUCAGAACGGCGGAGGAGGGGAAGUGAUGGAAGCCGAAAUGGUGAAGGAAAUGAAAACCCUGACACAGCAGCAUUCACAAUUGGAUGGGGCCAUUGAUGGGCAGCAAGCACUACUAUGAACCAAAGGGAUGACCCUCUAACCUGGGAAACUUCAGGCACCUUGACAUUCUGCUGGAGAAGUGAGACAGGUGGACUCUGCAUCCAAACAAGUGACUGUUUCCCUCUUAGGGACCCACAUGGCUUUCGAUGAUAGGCCAUAUGGAAGAUGGGCCAUUUUGGAAGAUGGUGUACCUACCUAAUUGUCAUAAGCCGCAGCCAGCAUGGGGAGAUGCUUACACUUGGAGAAACUCAAGAGAAGUGGGAAGGACUAAAGCGAUCCCUUCGUGACCACCGAGUAGAAUAACAAGAACAGAAUGAAGUCAAACUGCUCCCCUACUCUAUCCCACACUUAAUUUCCAUCCUUCCCUUGGUGUGUGUCUUAGGUGAUGUGUAUACAUUUGUGUGUGCACACGUGUGUGGAUGCAUGCGCCUGUGUGCAUGUGGAGGCCGGAGAUCACAUCAGAAGCCCUCCUCCAUUGCUCUCUGUGUUAUUUGAUGAGACAAACUAUCGCUGAAGCUAGAACUAGCUUGUCUGGCCAGUGAGCUGCAGGGAUCCUAUUGUCUUUGCCUCCCAGAACACCCAACUUGCCUGUGUCUCUACAUGGGUGCUGAGGAUUCAAACUCAGGUCCACAUGCUUGCAUGGCAAGCUCUUUUAUCUGCCCAGCCUCUUCCAUUUCUCCAUUCUUUACUGAUCACAUACAUUUGACUACUUAACAACUGCAUUGAGUUCAUCUCCCACGUGUAUAGUCUCAUUUGAAUUUUUCCUUUGGACAGACCCAGUCAGCAGCUGAAUCAUAAUUCUCUUUGACAGAAGGUAUAGACACAAGGAAGGACU
This is a long non-coding RNA of Mastomys coucha (southern multimammate mouse), 997 nucleotides long. RefSeq lists it as uncharacterized. The record is from RefSeq and is a predicted model, not a curated record. NCBI's taxonomy places the organism in Eukaryota, Metazoa, Chordata, Mammalia, Rodentia, Muridae. The transcript has 3 exons.